CUGAAGUGAUUUGGGGAUGUUGCUGGUUCUCUAGGGAACAUGUGCACGCCUUGUCAUCUUUAUAUCUCCACCUGUGCACUUUUUGUAGGCCUUUCCAGGUCUAUGUUGCUUCAUUUUACCCCAACUGUAUGUCAUUAGAAUGUUGUGCCUAUAUAACAUAUA
This 162-nucleotide unclassified non-coding RNA is filed under the name uncultured Cortinarius. Its description in RNAcentral is "sequence contains ITS1". Lineage: Eukaryota; Fungi; Basidiomycota; Agaricomycetes; Agaricales; Cortinariaceae. The record is from RNAcentral.